UUAGAUGUCCGGGGCCGCACGCGCGCUACACUGAAGGAAUCAGCGUGUGCUCUCCCGGUCCGGCAGGACUGGGUAACCCGCUGAACCUCCUUCGUGAUAGGGAUAGGGGCUUGUAAUUGUUCCCCUUGAACGAGGAAUUCCUAGUAGGCGCGAGUCAUCAGCUCGCGUCGACUCGGUCCCUGCCCUUUGUACUCACCGCCCGUCGCUACAAGCGAUUGAAUGAUUUAGUGAGGUCUUCGGACUGGCGCUCGGAGCGGCCUCGCGCCGGGCCGAAGUGCCGGAAAGAUGACCGAACUUGAUCAUUUAGAGCAUGUAAAAGUCGUAACAAGGUUU
RNAcentral lists this ribosomal RNA (333 nucleotides) under Stygopholcus sp. Bal3. RNAcentral's name for it is "bacterial SSU rRNA". It matches the Rfam family "Eukaryotic small subunit ribosomal RNA", at positions 1473 to 1802 of the family's 1831-position model. Lineage: Eukaryota; Metazoa; Arthropoda; Arachnida; Araneae; Pholcidae. RNAcentral also lists the same sequence under 1 other name. The record is from RNAcentral.